AUUGAACGCUGGCGGAAUGCUUUACACAUGCAAGUCGAACGGCAGCACGGGAGCUUGCUCCUGGUGGCGAGUGGCGAACGGGUGAGUAAUGCGUCGGAACGUACCGAGUAAUGGGGGAUAACGCAGCGAAAGCUGUGCUAAUACCGCAUACGCCCUGAGGGGGAAAGUGGGGGAUCGCAAGACCUCACGUUAUUCGAGCGGCCGACGUCUGAUUAGCUAGUUGGUGGGGUAAUGGCCUACCAAGGCGACGAUCAGUAGCGGGUCUGAGAGGAUGAUCCGCCACACUGGGACUGAGACACGGCCCAGACUCCUACGGGAGGCAGCAGUGGGGAAUUUUGGACAAUGGGGGCAACCCUGAUCCAGCCAUUCCGCGUGAGUGAAGAAGGCCUUCGGGUUGUAAAGCUCUUUCAGCUGGAACGAAACGGUACGGGCUAAUACCCUGUGC
Molecule: ribosomal RNA, 445 nt
Filed under: uncultured Thiobacillus sp.
Lineage: Bacteria; Pseudomonadati; Pseudomonadota; Betaproteobacteria; Nitrosomonadales; Thiobacillaceae
Description: bacterial SSU rRNA
Rfam family: Bacterial small subunit ribosomal RNA
Source: RNAcentral